GCUGGCCUUGAACUCCUGGCUUCAAACAGUCUUCCCACUUGGGCUCCCAAAGUGCUGGGAUUAAAGGGGCGAGUUACAGCACCAGGACCUGAAAUGCAUCAUGUGUCAUUCUCACAGCUGUUAGGACUUCAAUGAUGUUAUAAGGAAGUUGGGGCUCAGAGAAGCUACAGAACUUACCCAAGGACACACAGCCAUCACGAAAAACAUGGCCAGCAAAGCAGGUGAGGCAAAGAUCAGGAAGGACAUUAAACGCCAAACUAAGGAGCGGAACUGAAUGAGCAGUGAAGGGGAACAAUGGCUUCAGCAGGUCCACUGGGCUCCUCUUUUCUGUCAGCCUCCCCCUACCCCUCACCUCUGUACUACUCAUGUUACUAUCUACGUCUCUUCACCAAUGUCAUUGUGGAAAUAAAAGCUUAUCUGUAAGAGUA
RNAcentral lists this long non-coding RNA (428 nucleotides) under Homo sapiens (human). RNAcentral's name for it is "HSALNT0345102". The record is from RNAcentral. Lineage: Eukaryota; Metazoa; Chordata; Mammalia; Primates; Hominidae.